Molecule: small nucleolar RNA, 148 nt
Filed under: Myotis davidii
Lineage: Eukaryota; Metazoa; Chordata; Mammalia; Chiroptera; Vespertilionidae
Description: Small nucleolar RNA SNORA72
Rfam family: Small nucleolar RNA SNORA72
About the family: U72 is a member of the H/ACA class of snoRNAs. The snoRNA gene is located in intron 4 of the ribosomal L30 protein gene in human, mouse and chicken.
Source: Rfam by way of RNAcentral
GAACCAUAAGACUCGCUGUUCUGAUUUUGUAAUAAUCAGGGCAGGCUAAACAUUCGCUAUAUUAAGACCAUGCAUGUGUCCCCAGACCAGGGAGCCCUGCUUUGUCGUGCACCAUCAAUAACUGGUUUUCUAAAUGCUGGUGAUAAAA